UUUCGCAUUUAUGUAUCGCUUAGACUCGCGUAAUAAGAAUGUAAAGCCUCUGGCGGGCGCUCGCCAGCAGGGCCGGCGGCAGAGCGCGGCCCGCCAAAGCAACUGGGUUUGUUCGCACAGGGUGGAGAUGCUCCCGGAGGAGUACUCUGUAAUGAUCCUUCCGCAGGUUCACCUACGAAAA
RNAcentral lists this unclassified non-coding RNA (181 nucleotides) under uncultured fungus. RNAcentral's name for it is "sequence contains ITS1". The record is from RNAcentral. Lineage: Eukaryota; Fungi.